RNAcentral lists this transfer RNA (76 nucleotides) under Euzebya pacifica. Its description in RNAcentral is "Euzebya sp. DY32-46 tRNA-Val". Lineage: Bacteria; Bacillati; Actinomycetota; Nitriliruptoria; Euzebyales; Euzebyaceae. The record is from RNAcentral.
GCCCCGAUAGCUCAGAAGGGAGAGCGCCGCGUCGACAUCGCGGAGGCCGGUCGUUCGAUCCGACCUCGGGGCACAA